Molecule: ribosomal RNA, 400 nt
Filed under: uncultured bacterium
Lineage: Bacteria
Description: bacterial SSU rRNA
Rfam family: Bacterial small subunit ribosomal RNA
Source: RNAcentral
GAAUUUUCCGCAAUGGGCGAAAGCCUGAUCCAGCCAUGCCGCGUGAGUGAAGAAGGCCUUAGGGUUGUAAAGCUCUUUCACCUGCGAAGAUGAUGACGGUAGCAGGAGAAGAAGCCCCGGCUAACUCCGUGCCAGCCGCCGCGGUAAUACGGAGGGAGCUAGCGUUGUUCGGAAUUACUGGGCGUAAAGCGCGCGUAGGCGGCUUUUCAAGUCAGGGGUGAAAUCCCGGGGCUCAACCCCGGAACUGCCCUUGAAACUGGAUGGCUAGAAUACUGGAGAGGUGAGUGGAAUUCCGAGUGUAGAGGUGAAAUUCGUAGAUAUUCGGAAGAACACCAGUGGCGAAGGCGACUCACUGGACAGUUAUUGACGCUGAGGUGCGAAAGCGUGGGGAGCAAACAGG